GGGCCUACGGGGGGCAGCAGUGAGGAAUAUUGGUCAAUGGGCGCAAGCCUGAACCAGCCAAGUCGCGUGAGGGAAGACGGCCCUACGGGUUGUAAACCUCUUUUGCCGGGGAGCAAGCCUGAGCACGUGUGCCCAGGCGGAGAGUACCCGGAGAAAAAGCAUCGGCUAACUCCGUGCCAGCAGCCGCGGUAAUACGGAGGAUGCGAGCGUUAUCCGGCUUUACUGGGUGUAAAGGGCGUGUAGGCGGGCAUGCAAGCCAGAAGUGAAAUCUGGGGGCUUAACCC
Molecule: ribosomal RNA, 284 nt
Filed under: uncultured bacterium
Lineage: Bacteria
Description: partial 16S ribosomal RNA
Rfam family: Bacterial small subunit ribosomal RNA
Source: RNAcentral